GCGCUCCACUGGAAGGACUCUGGAUAACGGGAUCUCUGUCCGAGGAAAUCUCACCGGAACUCCCGGAAUCGAUAAAAGAGAUCGAAACACUGGAUCGUGUCGGGGCGGGGCCCAUUUAAAGUCGCUCUGAAAAUCAUUGCUGUUAACGUGAACAGAUCAAAUUUCCACCAAUAACGACACAACGACUGUAAGAUCAUAAAUGAUCAUAAUCAGUUUACAGCUUCAACCUGCCGAAUCCAUACGGACUGCAUUGGCGUAAGGCGAUUUUUGUUUACAGUACCGAGACCAACACACCCCCACCUUUACCGAAGCGGCAGCGUUCAGCAUUCAGACUGUGAGUUGUGUCUUCACUCAGCUGAAGUGCCUUUGCGGUCAGAUGCCUUGUUCUUUCUGUUUGAAUCCAAAUGGCUAACAAACUGGUGAUUGCUUCCCAUAUUUCACCAGGCCGACUGUAGAAUUUAAUCUUCUCUACCCAAAUGUAUCCAUCCCAUGCUUAUCACUGGUAGGCGUGUAUGUAUAGAAAUCCCCGCUUUUGCCACAAUCUGUCACGCAUCAACUUUUCAAAAGUCUAAAGUGUCAGAAAGUUCCUGCUGGCAUUUCUGGCUUCCAAUUCUACCUUCCCCUGAAGGUCAGAAACCAUGGAUUUGUGAUCUAUAGACAAUUCAUUGAACAAACAGUUUGUUGCUUUCAGAUACUUAUUCAGAUCCUUCCUUCAUGGUUUUAAGGUGACUGGCCAUGUUAAUCAUUCUUCUUCAGCAAUCCUGGAUAUUCCAGGAUGACUCAUUCCUGCGGCAGUUCGUGAAGAUUGGAGUGUGACUGAUGAGGCCAUUUUGGGGCAGGUGGAUAGAUUGAGAUUUGGGUGACUUCCCACUUUUUGUGCUUGUUCUCCUGGUGCUUCUGCCAGAGAGACAUGAGACAUUUGAUUCCUCUGGUUAGUUUUGCAUUAGGGAUCUUCAGAGGCAGUAAGGAUGAUGUGUUUGCCCCCAAGAACAUGACUAAUGCAUUCUGUUCAUCUUCCUUGAAAUGUCUUUGAAAUAUCCUUGAAAGCUAAUGGCAUGUUGGCCUUCAUAACAAGGGGAGUUGAGUAUAGGAGCAAAGAGGUCCUUCUGCAGUUGUACAGGGCCUUGUGAGACCACACCUGGAGUAUUGUGUUCAGUUUUGGUCUCCAAAUUUGAGGAAGGACAUUCUUGCUAUUAAGGGAGUGCAGCGUAGGUUCACGAGGUUGAUUCCCAGGAUGAUGGGACUGCCAUAGGCUGAAAGAUUGGAGCGACUGGGCUUGUAUACACUGGAAUUUAGAAGGGUGAGAGGAGAUCUGAUUGAAACAUAUAAGAUUAUUAAGGGAUUGGACACGCUAGAGGCAGGAAAUAUGUUUCUGAUGUUGUGGGAGUCCAGAACCAGAGGCCACAGUUUAAGAAUAAGGGGUAGGCCAUUUAGAAUGGAGUUGAGGAAAAACUUUUUCACCAGAGAGUUGUGGAUCUAUGGAAUGCUCUGCCCCAGAAGGCAGUGGAGGCCAAUUCUCUGGAUGCUUUCAAGAAAGAGUUAGAUGGAGCUCUUAAAGAUAAUGGAGUCAAGGGAUAUGGGGAGAGGGCAGGAACGGGGUACUGAUUGUGGAUGAGCAGCUUGAUCACAUUGAAUGGCGGUGCUGGCUCAAAGGGCCAAAUGGCCUACUCCUGCACCUACUGUCUAUUGCUUAUUGUCUAUCUUGCCAAGAUGGAGGUCAGAAUAAUGCCAUUUUUGGGGGGGGGGGGUCUGUGGGGAGCUACAUAGAAGCUGCAGCCCACUCAGUUAAGCAAGUUGCAUGUGAUCUCCACCUUGAAAUUGACAUUGGUUGGUUGGUGGACUUAAAGCAUUUUGGAGAAGGGGCCUUAACAGUACAUCUCUGAGGCUUGAGAUGCCUAUUGUAAAUUAUUCAUGUCUCUGUGGCAGGGGAAUAGAGAUUAUAACUCAGGCUUGAAAAAGGGUCUCAGCCCAAAAUGUUGACUCCUUGUUUAUUUCCAUAGAUGCUGCAUGACCUGCUGAGUUCCUCCAGCAUUUUGUGUGUUGCUUUGGGUUUCCAGCAUCUGCAGACUUUCUCAUGUUUAGAGAUGAGAACUCUUUAGUUGACCACAAACUUGGUACUGCAUUUGAGGACUUUUUAUUCUCAGACACCCAAAGGCUGUGCUGGUACACUGACUACAAUAAGACCAUAAGACAUAGGAGCAGAAUUAAGCCAUUUGACCCAUCAAGUCUGCUCCACAAUUCCAUCAUGGCUGAUCCCGGAUCUCAUUCGACCCCAUACACCUGCCUUCUCAUCAUAUCCUUUGAUGCCCUGACUGAUCAAGAAACUAGCAACUUCCUAUAAUAUUAUAUGGUCAGGUAUUUUUUUCUCUUUUCUUUUUCACCAACCAGCUCAUUUUGGUAGUGGGGAUAGAUUUUUUUUAAUAAAGUACAAUCAUUCUACUUUAUUUCAUUUCAUAAUUCAAUCUUUCUUUCUACGUGAUUGAUUUGGAAUAUGGGAUUCUGUGAUCAUAUUACUGUGAUUUAAAUGUGAUGUAAUUUGUAUUACUUGUAUCCUUAUGAACUUUGUAUUUAUAUCCAUGCAAUUUAUACAAUAUUAAUAAAAAAUAUUGAAAGAGGAAACUAUCAACUUCUGCCUGAAAAUGGAGGGCUUAUCCUCCACCGUAGUCUGUGGCAGAGCAUUCCACAGAUUCACUACUCUUUAGCUAAAAAAAACCCUCCUUACAUUAUCUCUGUUCUAAAGGGUUGCCUCUCAAUUUUGAGGCUGUGCCCUCUAGUUCUGGAUACCCCCACCACAAGAAACCACCUCUCCACAUCCACCCUAUCAAUUCCUUUCAACAUUCAGUUGGUUUCAAUGAGAUCUCCCCGCAUCCUUCUAAAUUCCAGUGAGUACAGGCUGCCAAAUGCUCCUCAUAUGUUAACCCCUAUAUUCCCGGAAUCAUUUGCUUUAUUCCAUUGGGAUACUGAUACAUGUGAGUUAUGCUUCUCCCUCUCAAGUUGCAGUAUGAGUACAAUCAUAUUAUUUUAUUUAUUAAGUACCUCAUUACAAUUGUGUUAUUACCUUAUUUCAUGCCUUUUCCAGCUCCCUUUGCAAUCUCAGCCUCACAUCUUGGCUACUAUUUGAAGGCUAUAUAUGAUUCCCGUAAUGAUUUUUUUCACCCUUGCAAUUUCUUAAUUCCACCCACAAAGAUUCAACAUUCUUUGGCCCUGUGUCACCUCUUUCUAAAGAUGUAAUUCUAUCUCUUACUAACAGAGCCACACCACCACCUAUGCCAUCCUGCCUGUCCUUUUGAUACAAAGUAUAUCCUUUGAUGUUAAACUCACAACUAUGAUCUUCUUUCAGCCACGACUCAGUGACGCCCACAAUGUCACACCGACUAAUCUCUAAUUGUGCCACAAGUUUAUCCACCAUAUUCCGAAUGCUAUAUGCAUUUAAGUAUGCACUGUCAGCCCUGAAUUUUGCUCUUCUGAAUUUUGCCUCUGUGAUAUAAUAGCAAAUUAUCAUCAUGAAUGUUCAGCUUUGUUGAAAAUUAGCUCCCAAGAUAUGAGAAAUAGCCUAUACAUUGACAGAUCUCAUCUUGCACCUUUCUCAACAAGAUUCAGUGCUUUGCCAAUUUUUAAUGAAAGGUCAGUUCCCUCAUUCUGCAGUGCCCAAGUCAAUGGCGACUUGGAACCUAACCCCUGAACUUUAAAAUAAUCAAGUAUAGCAGCUCAGUAAUGAGCGUGGGAUCAAGAUUGUCUUGGUUCUGGUGUGGCUGAAUAGUUUCCCCAUUCUUCUGUAGAGUAGUUUUAGUCCAAAUAGAAGUUUGUUAGAGAUGAGGUGCAGCAUUGUGGUGAGCAAGAUGGAGGGAAACAUUGCAUAAGAUGGAAACAAUUUUCGACUUGCAGACAGAUAUGAGGCGAUGCUGCACAAUCCCUCUCAGCUGACUGAGCCAAAAGUGAUAGUGAGAUCAUAAAAUGCUUAUGUCUGAUGUUACUCUGAAUUUUCUUUACAGUCGAUCCACAGCGAGGACCACAUCUGCUAUGCUCCUUAACAAAUGAAAUCCACAUUACAAUUUGGGAACAGCUCUUUGGCCACUGAGAGUUGGUGGUUGAAGAGGAGACGGAUGCUGUAAUAUUUGUAUGUCAAGGAGGAUUGGGGAGUUAAGCAGGACAAUACUCUCAACUGAUUCCAUGCUUUGCAUAGCAGCUUCUAUUUGCUUUUGACAAGAUACCGUUUUCACCUUUGUGAUUCACUUACCCUUCUUCCAAUCAAGGGUAUUGCAUCUGGAGUUUGCAAUGUGGUCUCCUCUACACUGGAGAAAUCUAUUACAAAAUACUUUAUGGAACACUUGCGUUCCCUGAUAUUCCUAUUGCUUCUCACUUUAACCCUUGAUCCCGCACCAUCCUGGCCUAUCAACCUGUACCUUCAUGCUCUGUUACAAUUAAAUGCAAGGUUGAGCAACAGUGACUCAUCUUUCAUCUGGCCACACUACAGCUUUCCAGACUCAAUGGUGUAUUUUGCAACUUAAAAUAUUUUGAUUUCUUUGUGUAUUUGUCAUCUAUUUGUGACAUUGACUUUGUUGUUUUUGUUCCCUUUUUUUCCCUUUUCUCCAGCCCAGUCUGCUGGGUGUGUCUUACUUAGCUGCAUUCCUAUAUUGUUUUGUCUAUGUUCUUACUUUCUAAUUGUUUCCGUUCACUCAUUGACCGGAUAACCUUGUUCAUAUUAACUCAUGAUUACCGUGGUUUUACCUCAUCAGACAUAUUCCCCCUACCCCCACACCAUUCCUGUGACUUAACAAGCUUCAUUUCUCUCCUACACGAGGAAAUCUGCAGAUGCUGGAAAUUCAAGCAACACACACAAGAUGCUGGUGGAGCGCAGCAUUUUCUCUCUCUCUGCCCAUCACUCUGCCUGUUCUCCAUCUAUCUCUGGUGCUUCCCUCCCCCUUUCUUUCUCCCUAGGCCUCCUGUCCCAUGAUCCUUUCCCUUCUCUAGCUCUGUAUCCCUUUUGCCAACCACCUUUCCAGCUCUUAGCUUCAUCCCACCCCCUUUGGUCUUCUAUCAUUUCACAUUUCCCCCUCCCCCUCCUACUUUCAAAUCUCUUACUAUCUUUCCUUUCAGUUAGUCCUGACGAAGUGUCUCGGCCCAAAACGUCAACAUUGCUUCUUCCUAUAGAUGCUGCCUGGCCUGCUGCAUUCCACCAGCAUUUUGUGUCAUUUCUCUCCGACCCACUUCUGACAAAAACUCAUCAACAAGAAACAGAUGUAAACUGACCUGCUGGGUAUUUCUGCAUUUUUAGACAUUCAGUCCAAGCUGAUUCAGCAAUCAAGUGGCAGCCAAUGAGGGGAGUUACACAUAGGAGUGAAAAUCCUACAUUGUUGUGAGUUUACUGAAACCCAUCUGCUGACCUCUAGGAAAUUAUUUGGGGGAAUUUCUUUGGCAUGUUUUUGCAUCACAUUAGUAACAGAGUUAAUAUUUCAUUAAUAGUUCAGCACUUUGAGACAUCCACUCAACAACUGUGUCUCUCUUUUACAGCCUAGCAGGAAAGGCCUGGAGUGGGAACUAAAUGAUGAGGGAGACCCCGGUAUAAAGGCGAUUGAGGUCUGAGCCCGGCCUCUCAGUCUCCAGGAUGUAGUAUGGUGGUCACUCACUGCUGGUUCCUUCUUCCAGUCAAUAAAAGCCGAUAUCUCGCCUUACGUCUCAGAUGCUGGGUUUCAGCAGAGGCUCCAAAGACUUUAUUUAUAAUAGAUGAAGCCUUCAAGACGAAUAGCACAUCGGUAGUGUCGAUGAGGAGUCGCAAUGAGUCUACACGGAGAGCAAAGCUAUGUAACUUUAAGAGCCAGUUUUCAGUUGUGCAAUCUUUUUAGAUGAAUUCUAUAUAAUUGACGGUACAUUCUGACAAGUUCAAAAAGCUGAAAGAUUGCUUAUAAUGGUCGUAGCAUGGCUUAAGAACCCAUGUAAAAAGUAACGCAAAACGAUUGUCUUGAUAUUUUUCCAAACCUUUUUAUUCUAUACACACCUGUUUUUUUUCUCUCUAUUGGCACUUGUA
Molecule: long non-coding RNA, 6025 nt
Organism: Hypanus sabinus (Atlantic stingray)
Lineage: Eukaryota; Metazoa; Chordata; Chondrichthyes; Myliobatiformes; Dasyatidae
Exons: 3
Source: RefSeq, a predicted model, not a curated record